Non-coding RNA from Schistosoma margrebowiei, 78 nucleotides. Lineage: Eukaryota; Metazoa; Platyhelminthes; Trematoda; Strigeidida; Schistosomatidae. The record is from Rfam.
AGCCUUCUGAAUCCGUUCCGAGAUUUCGCCAGACACCAGACUAUCAGUACUGACGAGACUUCCGCGACAAGCGAAGCG